UCCAAAUGCCUGGGGAAAGGUUUCUAAGAUGGGUUCCACAUAUAUUUUUUCUUUCCUUCACCUUUUUGGAGAGUUUCAAACAAUAAAAAAAUCUUUCUUUCCCCAACCUUUCUCUCCUCCUCGCUAUCUUUUCCUUAAAACAAAAAUAGCCUUAGGAUCCAACAUAACUGUUUAUUCAAAAAUAAAGUUAUGCAAUUGCAGCUAACCAUCUGAUAUAAUAAACAUGAGACAAAAAGAGAUAUAAAAUUGUAAAGAAAAGAGAAUAUUAAAUGUGUGGUUGAAAUGUAACAAUUGAGAAAAAUUGAGAGAAAUACACUUGAGAGAAUCUAUUAAAAGAAUUAUAAUUCCUUUGUUCAAUAUUAAUUAUUUCAAACAAAAAAAAAAAAAUGCCUCCGGAUUUAUCCUUGCCAUACCAGCAAAACAAGUUGGCCCCCAUAUCUAUGACAUUUCAUUAUUUGAACCAACUCUUCCAAACAUCAUCGGGAUCCAGCAUAAUAUUAGUCGAGAAAACGAUAAGAGAAAUUUGAGAUCGGUCAAUCGAUUGCAAUAGUGAGUAUGAAAUGUGAUCUCCACUUUGAAGUGAAUCAUCGUCCAUGAAGACUUGCAUUUCAAAGUAUGAUGAUAUUAUAAAAAUAUUUUGUUGACGAGAAAGAAAGAAGGUUUUGUGUUGUUUACUGGUUUGAGGGGGUGAUGAAGUGGUUUAUAUGUGAAAGGUUGGGUAAGUUAGGUUUAGAGUUGAA
Molecule: long non-coding RNA, 740 nt
Filed under: Medicago truncatula (barrel medic)
Lineage: Eukaryota; Viridiplantae; Streptophyta; Magnoliopsida; Fabales; Fabaceae
Description: long non-coding RNA (MTRU_LNC007140)
Source: RNAcentral